This 841-nucleotide non-coding RNA is filed under the name Phlaeoba antennata. Its description in RNAcentral is "12S ribosomal RNA". The stretch from base 396 to 833 matches the Rfam family "Microsporidia small subunit ribosomal RNA", at positions 752 to 1303 of the family's 1311-position model. The record is from RNAcentral. Lineage: Eukaryota; Metazoa; Arthropoda; Insecta; Orthoptera; Acrididae.
AGUUGCUAUAUCUUAGAUUUAAUUUUUAGUAUAUAUGUUUCAUUUAUUUUUGAAAAGUUUUAUUCUUGCUUGUUUAUUUAUUUUUUUUCUUUAUAUUAUAUGUAAGUUUUGUAAGACUAAAUGUUCUUUUUGCAGUGAUUUAAUUUAAUUAUCAAGUUUUUUUGGAAUUAGUAAUUGAUUUAGUAUUUGCAUAUUUCGUGCCAGCAGCCGCGGUUAUACGAUUAAUACAAGUGAAUAUUAUUGGUUAAAACAGUUAUUUAUAUUUUUGGAUUAAAUUAUAAAUUUAUGAGGUGAAAUUUUAUUUUUUUUUAUGAUUCAUUUUAUGAAUCUGUGAAGCUUAAUUAAUAAACUAGGAUUAGAUACCCUAUUAUUUUAAGUGUUAAUUUUAUUUACCUGGGUACUGUUAGUUAGGAUCUUUAAACCCAAAGAAUUUGGCGGUAUCUCAUUCCAUUCAGAGGAACCUACUCCGUAAUUGAUAGUACACGAUUUACUUUACUUAAUUUAUUUGUUUGUAUAUCUCCGUUAUAAGAAAAUCUUUUUGAAGUUUUAAUUUUCUUAAUUUAUAAUUAUGAAAUAUUUCAGGUCAAGGUGCAGUUUAUAUUUAAGUGGAAGCGGGUUACAAUAAAUUUUUAUUUAUAAUGGAUUUAAUAUUGAAAUAUUGUUAAUAAAGGUGGAUUUGAUAGUAAUUUGAUUUAUUUAAUUUAAUUGAUAUUGGCUCUGAGGUGUGUACACAUCGCCCGUCACUCUCAUUAUUAUAUUUUAUUUAUAUAUUAUUAUAAUUAAUUUAGAUGAGAUAAGUCGUAACAUAGUAGAUGUACUGGAAAGUGUAUCUAGAAAGAUA